AAGUCGUAACAAGGUUUCCGUAGGUGAACCUGCGGAAGGAUCAUUAAUAAGGAGCUGCGGUGCUUUACUGCUUGCUUUUAUUACUAUGUGUGAACUGUUGACCUGACAGCUGUGCGUUUGGCAGUGCUGUGGAGGGGUGUUGGCUGUGUGCUGGAGUGUUUGUCUGUUUCAUUGAGGCAGGUGUGCAUGACAGUGCAGAGUGUUGCACUCUUCCUUCAGUUACCAACCGGCGCACACACCCUUACUUUAUACGUAUGUUACCCUGUACGUCUCUACAAAAAACCACUAGAAAGAGGUUAGCAGCAACCUACGAGUUGAACUUGCAAAACUUUUAGCAAUGGAUCUCUAGGCUCUU
Molecule: unclassified non-coding RNA, 355 nt
Filed under: fungal sp.
Lineage: Eukaryota; Fungi
Description: partial internal transcribed spacer region
Rfam family: Eukaryotic small subunit ribosomal RNA (bases 1-46)
Source: RNAcentral